Molecule: ribosomal RNA, 592 nt
Filed under: uncultured bacterium
Lineage: Bacteria
Description: bacterial SSU rRNA
Rfam family: Bacterial small subunit ribosomal RNA
Source: RNAcentral
CCUACGGGAGGCAGCAGUGGGGAAUUUUGGACAAUGGGCGCAAGCCUGAUCCAGCAAUGCCGCGUGAGUGAAGAAGGCCUUCGGGUUGUAAAGCUCUUUUGUCAGGGAAGAAACGGGUAGAGCUAAUAUCUUUACCUAAUGACGGUACCUGAAGAAUAAGCACCGACUAACUACGUGCCAGCAGCCGCGGUAAUACGUAGGGUGCAAGCGUUAAUCGGAAUUACUGGGCGUAAAGCGUGCGCAGGCGGUUUUGUAAGUCUGAUGUGAAAUCCCCGGGCUCAACCUGGGAAUUGCAUUGGAGACUGCAAGGCUGGAGUUUGGCAGAGGGGGGGUAGAAUUCCACGUGUAGCAGUGAAGUGCGUAGAUAUGUGGAGGAACACCGAUGGCGAAGGCAGCCCCCUGGGUCAAGACUGACGCUCAUGCACGAAAGCGUGGGGAGCAAACAGGAUUAGAUACCCUGGUAGUCCACGCCCUAAACGAUGUCUACUAGUUGUCGGGUCUUAAUUGACUUGGUAACGCAGCUAACGCGUGAAGUAGACCGCCUGGGGGAGUAACGGUCGCAAAGAUUAAAAACUUCAAAAGGAAUUGACGG